AGCUUGUGGCACUGCGGUGUGUUGGCGGCCGUACCUGUGUAUCUGCGGGUGUGUGUGUCCGUUGUGCCUACGGGUGUGUACUCUCGGUUAAAAGAUGAUUUACAGUUUGGUAAAUGACUCUUUAUGUAUGACUAUCACAACCACACGCUAUUGAUAAAAUACAAAAGAAAGAAAUUAGUAAAUGAAGUGUAAA
Long non-coding RNA from Penaeus chinensis, 193 nucleotides. RefSeq lists it as uncharacterized. The transcript has 2 exons. The record is from RefSeq and is a predicted model, not a curated record. NCBI's taxonomy places the organism in Eukaryota, Metazoa, Arthropoda, Malacostraca, Decapoda, Penaeidae.